CGUGGGGUAGAGCAGUUGGUAGCUCGACAGACUCAUCAUCUGUAGGUCGGAGGUUCGAGUCCUUCCUCCACUA
RNAcentral lists this transfer RNA (73 nucleotides) under Hyphochytrium catenoides. Its description in RNAcentral is "trnM(cat)". It matches the Rfam family "tRNA". Rfam says of the family: Transfer RNA (tRNA) molecules are approximately 80 nucleotides in length. Their secondary structure includes four short double-helical elements and three loops (D, anti-codon, and T loops). The record is from RNAcentral. Lineage: Eukaryota; Hyphochytriomycetes; Hyphochytriales; Hyphochytriaceae.